RNAcentral lists this ribosomal RNA (519 nucleotides) under uncultured bacterium. RNAcentral describes it as "bacterial SSU rRNA". It matches the Rfam family "Archaeal small subunit ribosomal RNA", at positions 345 to 866 of the family's 1478-position model. The record is from RNAcentral.
AACCUCCGCAAUGUGAGAAAUCGCGACGGGGGGAUCCCAAGUGCCAUUCUUAACGGGAUGGCUUUUCUUAAGUGUAAAAAGCUUUUGGAAUAAGAGCUGGGCAAGACCGGUGCCAGCCGCCGCGGUAACACCGGCAGCUCUAGUGGUAGCUGUUUUUAUUGGGCCUAAAGCGUUCGUAGCCGGUUUGAUAAGUCUUUGGUGAAAGCUUGUAGCUUAACUAUAAGAAUUGCUGGAGAUACUAUCAGACUUGAAGUCGGGAGAGGUUAGAGGUACUACCGGGGUAGGGGUGAAAUCCUAUAAUCCUGGGAGGACCACCUGUGGCGAAGGCGUCUAACUGGAACGAUCUUGACGGUGAGUAACGAAAGCCAGGGGCGCGAACCGGAUUAGAUACCCGGGUAGUCCUAGCCGUAAACGAUGCGGACUUGGUGUUGGGAUGGCUUUGAGCCGCUCCGGUGCCGAAGGGAAGCUGUUAAGUCCGCCGCCUGGGAGUACGGUCGCAAGACUGAACUUAAAGGAAUU